AUGUACUUUGUGUACACUCCGGUUCCUCCGCUCCGUGCGCCUUGCCCUGCGUCCGCUCGCUACGAUUUCUGCC
Molecule: small RNA, 73 nt
Filed under: Gallionellaceae bacterium
Lineage: Bacteria; Pseudomonadati; Pseudomonadota; Betaproteobacteria; Nitrosomonadales; Gallionellaceae
Description: sX9 sRNA
Rfam family: Xanthomonas sRNA sX9
Source: RNAcentral